GAUAGAGAAAAGGACCAUGAAGAACCUUCCCCAUUCUCAUGGGCUACUCAAGAUGCAGGUUGACAGUGGACUCAACUCUGGGAUGUAUGCAUCAGAGAUGGGCUCAGAGACUUGGACUCUGUCUUCGAUCCUGAAGCAGCCCUGCAGAUUGAUCACAGGCCCUCUCAGCCUCAGAUCGCAUUGGUACUGUUGGAACCAUGUAGUUUCAGCAGCAGUCCUGCUGAGAUGUGAGGAUGUUACAGUCAUCAGCAGGUCAAGUGAAAGAUCUGCUUCGUACCUUGGAGCAAACUCCAAUCUCCUUGCUUUAGGUCUUGGAGACCAUCUAGUUCAACCAUGGACCACCAUCCAUGAAGGACACACCCACCCUGCAUUCUCCACACAGAAAGACACAGAGGAGGCUCCCUCCUGGGACCUCAGAUUAGGCAUAAACCACACCCAAACACCUGUUUUUACUGAGAGAUUCUUUCUUAAGGAGGGCAGAAAAGUUAAAGUGGCUGAUUUUAGAACCUAGAGUCUGCUGGACGCCUCAUCAGGCCCACUAAACAGAGAUGCCAUUGAGUAGCCAUGAGACUCGUUCUGAGAACGAAGCAGUGUGGCAACCUGUAAACUGUUAAAGAAAAAUAACAAGGCUGUAGCAGCUUACCACAGAAAUUAGAGACCCAUGAGUUUCAGGAAGGAGAAUUCAAAGUGCUCAUAUUACAGAAGUUCAGUGAGGUGGAAGGAAACACAUUUAAGAAGAAAAGUAAAGAAAUUUGAGGGGGAAAGUAAACAUAUUUAUCAUUAAAUAAAAUUUAAACAUUUUCCCAGAGACAAUCAUAGGCAGAAAUUGUGAAGUAUGAAAUUGUAAUUUAAUUUGUGCAGAAAUUAAUUUAUGGACUGAGUUAGAAUUUAUACAUAAUUUGAAAAAAUGAUGUAGAUAACUUGUGUCAAUAAGCUACCAUUGUGCUGUGAAUUCUACUGUAUUCACAAUAAAAUUAUGGUUCAUAUCCUGAUAACUGGGAGGUAUAGCAGAAAAUAAAAUGCAUGAGGGUAAUG
This 1035-nucleotide long non-coding RNA is filed under the name Rattus norvegicus (Norway rat). RNAcentral's name for it is "long non-coding RNA NONRATT003101". Lineage: Eukaryota; Metazoa; Chordata; Mammalia; Rodentia; Muridae. The record is from RNAcentral.